Molecule: ribosomal RNA, 253 nt
Filed under: uncultured bacterium
Lineage: Bacteria
Description: partial 16S ribosomal RNA
Rfam family: Bacterial small subunit ribosomal RNA
Source: RNAcentral
UACAGAGGGCUCAAGCGUUGUUCGGAUUCAUUGGGCGUAAAGGGUGCGUAGGUGGCGUUAUAAGUCAGGUGUGAAAUCUCGGGGCUCAACCCCGAAACUGCACUUGAUACUGUAAUGCUCGAGUACUGGAGAGGGGAUUGGAAUUUACGGUGUAGCAGUGAAAUGCGUAGAUAUCGUAGGGAAGACCAGUGGCGAAGGCGAAUCUCUGGACAGUUACUGACACUGAGGCACGAAGGCCAGGGGAGCAAACGGG